Molecule: long non-coding RNA, 386 nt
Organism: Dendronephthya gigantea
Lineage: Eukaryota; Metazoa; Cnidaria; Anthozoa; Malacalcyonacea; Nephtheidae
Exons: 3
Source: RefSeq, a predicted model, not a curated record
AGGCGUAUGUAUAUGUUGCUGGAAAGCCGCUAGCAAAGACAGGCGUCGAGUAUCAUCAGUGCUGCCGGCGUGAAAAAUGAGGAUAAUAAGCCUCUCAAUUAAGGGAAUAUAUUAGCAGGCAUGAACGAGACUGUUGAAGCAUUUGUUGUCUUCAUGCAUGCUUCGGUAUCUGGGCGAAUUCUGCCAGAACACUUCAACUUCACGUUUGGCAAGGUCCCAAACUUCAUUUGUGUCAAUUCGGCAAACAGAGAAUUUGAGACAUGUUUGCGGCUGGUAGAAAUGUUCAGUCACUCGGGUGACUGGAUAUUGGAUGUUAAUUUACCCGAAGCUGGCGGUGUUGCAGCAGUCACGAUCAAACGCAAUUGCCUCAUUCUGGUAAAAACAGA